This 212-nucleotide long non-coding RNA is filed under the name Vigna radiata. Its description in RNAcentral is "long non-coding RNA (VRAD_LNC014790)". The record is from RNAcentral. Lineage: Eukaryota; Viridiplantae; Streptophyta; Magnoliopsida; Fabales; Fabaceae.
UUUUACAUGUUUUUUCUCUUUUCUUCUUUUCUUUUCCUUUCACAUGCAUUUUUCUUUUUCAUCUUUUGAACUCAAUGCUUUUCUUUUUCUUUUGCCUUUCACUUUCCCCAUUCAACCCCCAAACUUGAACCUUUUCAAAACAUAUAAUUAUUCUCAACCCUAACUCAAGGUAAAUCAAUUCCAACAAGGGUUUUUAUACUGUUUAAGGUCAA